RNAcentral lists this ribosomal RNA (253 nucleotides) under uncultured bacterium. Its description in RNAcentral is "partial 16S ribosomal RNA". It matches the Rfam family "Bacterial small subunit ribosomal RNA", at positions 524 to 776 of the family's 1533-position model. The record is from RNAcentral.
UACGGGGGGGGCAAGCGUUGUUCGGAAUUACUGGGCGUAAAGGGCUCGUAGGUGGCCAACUAAGUCAGACGUGAAAUCCCUCGGCUUAACCGGGGAACUGCGUCUGAUACUGGAUGGCUUGAGUCUGGGAGAGGGAUGCGGAAUUCCAGGUGUAGCGGUGAAAUGCGUAGAUAUCUGGAGGAAUACCGGUGGCGAAGGCGGCAUCCUGGACCAUUACUGACGCUGAGGCGCGAAAGCUAGGGGAGCAAACGGG